RNAcentral lists this non-coding RNA (44 nucleotides) under marine eukaryotic metagenome. RNAcentral describes it as "serC leader". It matches the Rfam family "serC leader", at positions 1 to 44 of the family's 52-position model. From Rfam's summary of the family: This family is a putative regulatory RNA structure that is found upstream of the serC-serA operon in some alpha-proteobacteria. The record is from RNAcentral.
CGGCGGGCCACACCUCCCCAACGAGGUGCGGCGUUCUGUAAGGG